GGCAAAGCAUAAUAGGAAUUGUAUUUCAACAUCUGUUGAUCUACAUUUUUGGCAAAACUGAUCUAAAAAAGUAUUGAUAAUACUUUAAACUUCCUUAGAGCUAUAUGGGUUACAAAUAUUGACACUAAAACCAUAAAAUAAAAAAAGCAUAUCACAAAGUCAACGUGGCCCAAAUUAGGUGGUGACAGAGAGGUGAGCAGGUUAUCACUAAUACAAAACAGUAAGUUACAAAGCGGACAAUCAGAAAUGCCAGUUAUCGACUCUAUUAAUC
Non-coding RNA from Pelobates cultripes (western spadefoot toad), 271 nucleotides. Lineage: Eukaryota; Metazoa; Chordata; Amphibia; Anura; Pelobatidae. The record is from the annotation of a GenBank genome assembly.